This is a long non-coding RNA of Scatophagus argus, 820 nucleotides long. RefSeq lists it as uncharacterized. The transcript is spliced from 4 exons. NCBI's taxonomy places the organism in Eukaryota, Metazoa, Chordata, Actinopteri, Scatophagidae. The record is from RefSeq and is a predicted model, not a curated record.
CAUUUUAAGAGUAUGUUAGUCGUCUAUGCCAAGUUCAAUAACUCAAGAUUAAAUUAGCUGGGUCUUUUAUCAGACUUAUACUGUUAUUGAUGUUGAAGCAGCAGCACCUUUUCUUAACUGAAAUCAUCUCAUUACACUUCACAUGUUUAAAAAGUUACAUCGAUAUAAUGAUUUUCGGUAUCGCUCCAGAAGCGACGUCUGAUCAUGCACGAGGACAUGGACAAAGGGCUGAAGUUUGAGGACAAAGAGUUUGAGUAUGAGGCCUUGAACAGGAGGACCUUGUUAGUAACAGCCAAAUAUAUCUGAAAAAGUCUGAACUAAACUAAACUAAACACCAAUAAACUUGUGCGGUACAUGUGAACCAAAAUGAGUGAUUUAUUAUACAGUUCAUAGUUUGGCCACCUGAACCUUUUGAAUGUAUUGAUGGUGAAACAUUUUGGUAUUUUUAUUGAGGGAAAAAAAAACACUUCUGUCUAUGUAUCUUCUGAAAACCAAAAUCUCACGAUUCAUCUUUAGGAGCCGUGUUCCUUGGAGGAAGAAAAGUCAGAGGGGAAUGGGUGCAUUGAGCCUUGUGUGACAACCCAUCAUGAAAAAAAGGAGUUGUACUCUCCUUUAAAAAGGAAGCCGAUUGAAUCCAGGAAGCAUGGUGCCUGUGAUGAAAAGAAGAAACCCAGGGAGGAGAACGUGUCAGAGAUUGAUGUCUGCAAAGCUGAUGGGGAGGGCCAUGUCAAAGAUGAAAUGAGCUGUGGUCCUGGAUUGAACAACAGCUGAGGAAUAUAGAUGCAUUGAACUUUGUGUGAGCACCUGCAGUGGACCAAAG